Molecule: ribosomal RNA, 484 nt
Filed under: uncultured bacterium
Lineage: Bacteria
Description: partial 16S ribosomal RNA
Rfam family: Bacterial small subunit ribosomal RNA
Source: RNAcentral
AUUGAACGCUGGCGGCAUGCUUUACACAUGCAAGUCGAACGGCAGCGCGGGCUUCGGCCUGGCGGCGAGUGGCGAACGGGUGAGUAAUGCAUCGGAACGUGCCCAGUAGUGGGGGAUAGCCCGGCGAAAGCCGGAUUAAUACCGCAUACGACCUGAGGGUGAAAGCGGGGGACCGAAAGGCCUCGCGCUAUUUGAGCGGCCGAUGUCGGAUUAGCUAGUUGGUGGGGUAAAGGCUUACCAAGGCGACGAUCCGUAGCUGGUCUGAGAGGACGACCAGCCACACGGGGACUGAGACACGGCCCAGACUCCUACGGGAGGCAGCAGUGGGGAAUUUUGGACAAUGGGGGCAACCCUGAUCCAGCCAUGCCGCGUGCGGGAAGAAGGCCUUCGGGUUGUAAACCGCUUUUGUUCGGGAAGAAAUCCUCUGGGCUAAUACCCCGGGGGGAUGACGGUACCGGAAGAAUAAGCACCGGCUAACUACGUG